This 774-nucleotide long non-coding RNA is filed under the name Lupinus angustifolius (narrow-leaved blue lupine). Its description in RNAcentral is "long non-coding RNA (LANG_LNC000636)". Lineage: Eukaryota; Viridiplantae; Streptophyta; Magnoliopsida; Fabales; Fabaceae. The record is from RNAcentral.
CCCACCAAAGAAUAAUAGCCCAAACACAAUCAACAAGGACAUAUAUUACCUUCGCAUCUAGCAAUUGGGUUCUUUUAAAGUUACAACCAUAUUGGAAGGUGAGAGUGGCUCAUCAUGUCUCUCACAAACAUGCAACAUGGUAUUUUCGGCCUUACUGUGUAACUCGCUGAAUAGACACGAUUGCCUAUGAACUAACUAUGCCUACCACAUCUCUGAUACAUCUUGGUUUUCACGUAUCAUUUUUGUGUCGGUUCUAUGAUGACCCCAAAGCUUAGUUCAUCCAUCUUCCAACAGUCAUGGAACCACUAGAAGGCAUCUCACCUUUAUAGAAACUCGUUUUUUGGAAAGGGAAGAUGAGCAACUCAACACUCUACUUAAAUCCAGCAAUAAUAUUGUUGCCUAUUCCUAAAAAAUUAGACUCGGCACACUCAGACAACUGAAUUACAUCAACAAAUAGCCCCAUAAUCGUUGAUCGCACACAUGGUUCAAAGACGAUCUCCAUCUGGAUCAUCAACACCUGCGUCGCCUACCCCCAAUCUGGCACGCGUCUUGUAGCACCUCUGCCUAUGAUCAUUUGUGUCGGUAGACUACAUUUCCUCGAUUCCAACUAUGGCAUAAUCAAGACCAGUCAUUCAAAUUUUCCACAAACUGCCUAAAGCAAUCUGAGUCGUUCAUAUAUUUUAUAUUCCAUCCAAUUCAGACAAGUUGGCAUGAACAACAACCUUCCACUAAUUCUUCACGUGGGACUGCACAAGUUAUACUUUCUCAUAUGCC